This is a non-coding RNA of Salmo salar (Atlantic salmon), 45 nucleotides long. The record is from Rfam. Lineage: Eukaryota; Metazoa; Chordata; Actinopteri; Salmoniformes; Salmonidae.
AAACAGGCUCUUUUAAGAGUCACCCAUAUUUAAAAAAUGUAGAAC